AGCAAAGCAAACGAACCCUAGGCUCCUCUUCUAAAUCACCCCAAUGGUAAAUCCAGCUGGCAUGGAACAUUUUUGGCUAAAUUCCAAUGCCUUCAAGCUUUCACAGUCUUGGUUUCACCAUUUUGGGAAAAGUUAUUUAUUGUUCUUGUCUUAUUCCAUCAACGAUCAAAUUCAAAACGGUAACUUGCUUUUUCCUCAAAUCUUUUUUAUUUUUCUUUUUUGUUUUCGGAUUUCUAUCCAAACUAAAAUGAAAUUCAAGUUUGAAAUCCGUCCCAUAUCGGUCUUGAACCAAAAAAUUGGAUAUUUUGGGUCCUAUAUAAAGAACCCAUCUCUUCAUUCUCAGGGAUAGGUUUUUUGACACCACAAAAUUGGUUUUUGACAACCACAAUAGAUUUUUACACCAUCAAUGAGGUUUUCACACCCCCAAGUUCUGAAAUUUUGAAUUGCUUGGCUUUGAACAAGAAAUUUUCUCUUAUAAGUCGAGUCCUUGAAUUAUCAGAACAAGUUAAAUAUUUUUUUUUAGUUCGAGUUAGUUAUCGUGUUGGUGAAAGUUCGAAGGUGAUCGACUCAACUUUUGUCGCCCCCGUCGCUGCUCCCGAAAAAGUCCAAUUGGACUUAUGUAUUGUCCCUGCAUUAUGUGUUGGGCUUGGGGUCUAACACAAUACUCUCAGUCUGUCAAGUCAGUCCAGCAAUACAAACAGAAGCAGCAACAGCAGCGAAAGAAAAUGAAUAGGCCACAGCCCACUAAAGUAGCAGCAGCCCAAUUCACAGAAAGAAAAAGAGCGGAAUAGACGCAAUAAAGGUCCAAGAAGGCGAAGAGAUACGAUUAGCUAAUCUAACAUUUCUCCACCUUCCCCUUCUCUAUCCCUCUCUUUAUUUAUCUUUUGCAAUUUGUAUACAUGUAUAUACUUGCAAACACAAGUAUUAUUGAAAA
Lycium barbarum (goji berry) is the source of this 934-nucleotide long non-coding RNA. RefSeq lists it as uncharacterized. NCBI's taxonomy places the organism in Eukaryota, Viridiplantae, Streptophyta, Magnoliopsida, Solanales, Solanaceae. The transcript is spliced from 2 exons. The record is from RefSeq and is a predicted model, not a curated record.